UACGUAGGGUCCGAGCGUUGUCCGGAAUUACUGGGCGUAAAGGGCUCGUAGGCGGCCAACUAAGUCGGACGUGAAAUCCCCAGGCUCAACCUGGGAACUGCGUCCGAUACUGGAUGGCUUGAAUCCGGGAGAGGGAUGCAGAAUUCCAGGUGUAGCGGUGAAAUGCGUAGAUAUCUGGAGGAAUACCGGUGGCGAAGGCGGCAUCCUGGACCGGCAUUGACGCUGAGGAGCGAAAGCCAGGGGAGCAAACGGG
Molecule: ribosomal RNA, 253 nt
Filed under: uncultured bacterium
Lineage: Bacteria
Description: partial 16S ribosomal RNA
Rfam family: Bacterial small subunit ribosomal RNA
Source: RNAcentral